CAGGACGAACGCUGGCGGCGUGCCUAACACAUGCAAGUCGAACGGACGAGGGGAGCUUGCUCCCCAAGUUAGUGGCGGACGGGUGAGUAACACGUGAGCAACCUGCCCUUCGGAGGGGGACAACAGCGGGAAACUGCUGCUAAUACCGCAUAAUGUAUUUUGGAGGCAUCUCCGGGAUACCAAAGAUUUUAUCGCCGAAGGAUGGGCUCGCGUCUGAUUAGAUAGUUGGUGGGGCAACGGCCCACCAAGUCUGCGAUCAGUAGCCGGACUGAGAGGUUGAACGGCCACAUUGGGACUGAGAUACGGCCCAGACUCCUACGGGAGGCAGCAGUGGGGAAUAUUGGGCAAUGGGGGCAACCCUGACCCAGCAACGCCGCGUGGAGGAAGAAGGCUUUCGGGUUGUAAACUCCUUUGACGAGGGACGAUGAUGACGGUACCUCGAAAACAAGCCACGGCUAACUACGUGCCAGCAGCAGC
Molecule: ribosomal RNA, 477 nt
Filed under: uncultured bacterium
Lineage: Bacteria
Description: bacterial SSU rRNA
Rfam family: Bacterial small subunit ribosomal RNA
Source: RNAcentral